RNAcentral lists this ribosomal RNA (367 nucleotides) under Staphylococcus aureus. RNAcentral describes it as "partial 23S ribosomal RNA". It matches the Rfam family "Bacterial large subunit ribosomal RNA", at positions 729 to 1094 of the family's 2925-position model. Lineage: Bacteria; Bacillati; Bacillota; Bacilli; Caryophanales; Staphylococcaceae. The record is from RNAcentral.
UCUACCCUUGGUCAGGUUGAAGUUCAGGUAACACUGAAUGGAGGACCGAACCGACUUACGUUGAAAAGUGAGCGGAUGAACUGAGGGUAGCGGAGAAAUUCCAAUCGAACCUGGAGAUAGCUGGUUCUCUCCGAAAUAGCUUUAGGGCUAGCCUCAAGUGAUGAUUAUUGGAGGUAGAGCACUGUUUGGACGAGGGGCCCCUCUCGGGUUACCGAAUUCAGACAAACUCCGAAUGCCAAUUAAUUUAACUUGGGAGUCAGAACAUGGGUGAUAAGGUCCGUGUUCGAAAGGGAAACAGCCCAGACCACCAGCUAAGGUCCCAAAAUAUAUGUUAAGUGGAAAAGGAUGUGGCGUUGCCCAGACAACU